RNAcentral lists this ribosomal RNA (445 nucleotides) under uncultured bacterium. RNAcentral's name for it is "SSU rRNA". It matches the Rfam family "Bacterial small subunit ribosomal RNA", at positions 26 to 518 of the family's 1533-position model. The record is from RNAcentral.
AGAGCGAACGCUGGCGGCAGGCUUAACACAUGCAAGUCGAGCGGGCGUAGCAAUACGUCAGCGGCAGACGGGUGAGUAACGCGUGGGAACAUACCUUUUGGUUCGGAACAACCCAGGGAAACUUGGGCUAAUACCGGAUAAGCCCUUACGGGGAAAGAUUUAUCGCCGAAAGAUUGGCCCGCGUCUGAUUAGCUAGUUGGUGAGAUAACGGCUCACCAAGGCGACGAUCAGUAGCUGGUCUGAGAGGAUGAUCAGCCACAUUGGGACUGAGACACGGCCCAAACUCCUACGGGAGGCAGCAGUGGGAAUAUUGGACAAUGGGCGCAAGCCUGAUCCAGCCAUGCCGCGUGAGUGAUGAAGGCCCUAGGGUGUAAAGCUCUUUGUGCGGGAAGAUAAUGACGGUACCGCAAGAAUAAGCCCCGGCUAACUUCGUGCCAGCAGCCGC